RNAcentral lists this transfer RNA (65 nucleotides) under Paratya australiensis. RNAcentral describes it as "tRNA-Asn". Lineage: Eukaryota; Metazoa; Arthropoda; Malacostraca; Decapoda; Atyidae. The record is from RNAcentral.
UUAGUUAAAGCCAAAGAGAGGCAUGUUACUGUUAAUAACAAAAAUGAAGAAAUCUUCUAACUAAA